GUCAUGACUUUGUUUUCGAAAAUAGGAUUUCAAACCAGAACGUAUUAUUAAACGUAUUAUUAUUUUUUCUAAAGGAGCGGCUGUAGUAUCAAGCCAAACUUAACCCAUGUCCUAGAUGGUGGAGAUCAAAAAGAAAAGUUCUCCCCCCUUAUUUUUUUAAGGCUAAGUUGCCUCAGGAGGCCCCUUUCCAGAUAGAAAAGCAGCUUUUCCAGGAUAAGGGAGACUCAGGUCCUGGGACCGUGGAAUGAAAUGCUCACAGAGCGUAGCUUUUCUCUAACAUUGUUCCCCAGCAAUGCAGACUCAGAGUGUAUAGGGCCACGGACCCUAACUUCGAGACCCUUGUCAGAAGUCGGUCCUCUGGAAUUACUGUAAAAGCACCUGGCCCCCCAUGUUUCCUUUUUAAAAAAAUUUUCAUUAAUUAUGGCACCAAAUGGCCAUGGUUAACCACAUGCUGGUCUUCAAGGAGUAAACAUAUUUAGCCCUUCAUUUUAGUAUUUCCGUAUUCUAAGUAGAAUGCUACCUCCGUUCACAUUCUAUUACGAUAAAGUUAUGUUUCGUAUACAUUUACCAUUCCUCCAUCAUUACAGUAUUUGUACUAUCUGACACCGGAAUAGUCACUUGAGCCAAGGAGCCUGAGAAUUUAGUCUUUUAAAAAAAAAAAAAAAUCUUGUUUUCUCCAUACAUGGUAAGUCUUUCCAGUGCCUCCAAUAGUGUAAAUAUUCAAGGCACUGGUUUUCGAUUUUUGUUUUUUUGUUGUUGUUUUUUAGCACCUUAAGUAUACUGACUUAAUUUCACAAGCACAGUGAGGUAGGUACAUGACGGAUACAUUUCAUCGUCGGGAAAUGUGAAGCACGGAGGGUAAUGGACGAGCGCGGUGAGAUUCUAAAUGGCAGAGUCAGGACUCGAAGAAGGCCAGCUGGGCUCCUGCAGCCACUCUCCCAAGCUCAAGCAACACAGCCCUGAUGUAACUUUCUACACCAGCAAAUCUACCAGUGCAAAACAGAGAGACAUUCAGCCACCCUGGACAAGCCUAGUGCUUUUGUGUUUGUCUAUGACAUACAUUUCCGUAAGUGGAGAGCGGAAACAAAGGACAUGUAUACUAAAUGGCUCGAGGGAUACCACCAACCUGCCUUCCGCGAUGAACAGUAACGUUCACCUGGAGUCUGCAAACCCGCAGACUCACUGAGAGGACCUGCAAGGAAGAAGGGGAGAGAGAGACUGAGAAACGGAGACACAAAUCUCUCAUGUGCCAAAAAUGAAGUACAGGAGUCGAGGCCCGAACAGAGGAUAUCAGACAUGGCCCUUGGGCCUGAGGAAGGUAAGGAGUCGGAACCGAAAUUCACUCUAGAACCAAGGAAGACCUGCUCCCGCUCUGUGAGGGAACCAUAAAGCAGGGUUCACUUACUAAAGCUACCAGCACAUUUCUCACUGAUAGAUAUCUGAGUGGGGAAAAUUUUCCCACAAUAAAUGGCAAUUUAAAAAAUCUGUUCUAGGCA
Molecule: long non-coding RNA, 1496 nt
Filed under: Ursus maritimus (polar bear)
Lineage: Eukaryota; Metazoa; Chordata; Mammalia; Carnivora; Ursidae
Description: lncRNA (ENSUMAG00000019295.1)
Source: RNAcentral